RNAcentral lists this ribosomal RNA (515 nucleotides) under uncultured bacterium. RNAcentral describes it as "partial 16S ribosomal RNA". It matches the Rfam family "Bacterial small subunit ribosomal RNA", at positions 28 to 523 of the family's 1533-position model. The record is from RNAcentral.
GACGAACGCUGGCGGCGUGCCUAAUACAUGCAAGUCGAGCGAUGAUUAAAGAUAGCUUGCUAUUUUUAUGAAGAGCGGCGAACGGGUGAGUAACGCGUGGGAAAUCUGCCGAGUAGUGGGGGACAACGUUUGGAAACGAACGCUAAUACCGCAUAACAAUGAGAAUCGCAUGUUUCUUAUUUAAAAGAAGCAAUUGCUUCACUACUUGAUGAUCCCGCGUUGUAUUAGCUAGUUGGUAGUGUAAAGGACUACCAAGGCGAUGAUACAUAGCCGGCCUGAGAGGGUGAUCGGCCACACUGGGACUGAGACACGGCCCAGACUCCUACGGGAGGCAGCAGUAGGGAAUCUUCGGCAAUGGGGGCAACCCUGACCGAGCAACGCCGCGUGAGUGAAGAAGGUUUUCGGAUCGUAAAACUCUGUUGUUAGAGAAGAACGUUAAGUAGAGUGGAAAAUUACUUAAGUGACGGUAUCUAACCAGAAAGGGACGGCUAACUACGUGCCAGCCGCCGCAGUAA